This is an RNA transcript of Mastomys coucha (southern multimammate mouse), 2168 nucleotides long. It is a transcript of the gene named cyclin-Q-like, with no coding region annotated. The record is from RefSeq and is a predicted model, not a curated record. NCBI's taxonomy places the organism in Eukaryota, Metazoa, Chordata, Mammalia, Rodentia, Muridae. The transcript has a single exon.
AGGAAUCAUCGCCAGCCUCAGAGAUCCAGGCUCCUUGCCUGAGGCUCUUCAUUCGUAAACAAAUGCUUUGUGGGUAGAAAGAACAGGCCUUCACUGCUCUGCAGAUGAGGGGCAUUCCUGGUACUUGUUACACCUGACAGUUUCAGGGUCCCUCCCGAGAGAUGAGAUUUCCACCUUGUGGAUGCGAUACAAGUGAAUUAAGUGUUUUCCUUGGCCCUGGGUCUAAACCAGUAGAGCCUUGAAUCAUCGCUGAUUUUGUUUGUUUGUUUGUUUGUUUGUUUGUUUUUAAAUGGAUUUAACUGUUUGGCCCACACACAUUUGGACACUGAGGGACGUGUGUAAUUGUCAGGUGUGGGAAGAUGUUGCAGGGACUGGAUGGGGUUGCCUUGAAACCAAGCAGGUAUCUUCAGACACACGUUUGCCUUCUGUCUAUUUGCUAUUGGAUGUCGUUGGAUAUAAGAAGCGAUAAGGGUUGAAUCCCCAAGAAGCUCAGCACCUGACAUGUGCGUAAUGUGUCUCUGACCUGGCAUGCCACUCCAGGAACUGGGAAAAGGCCCUGUUAGACUCUUGGCACAGAUGAAGGAGACCAGGCAGAGACAUAUCAUCAGCAAAAUUAUGCCAAGUGCUCAUUAUGAGAUACUAGGAGUUAGAUGGACUCUCUGGUAUGCAGACAGGUAGGGAAAGAGUCCGCGGCUAGCUAAUAAAAGUGGCAGAUUUCCAAGAUGGUCAGCCUCUUCCUUGCCUUGUCUAAUUGAGACAAAAGCCUGGUUGCUAAAAACAAAGGCCUUGUUGGCUUAUGUCUCCCACCAGCAGGACCCAACUGAUGAACUGCCUCAACAAGCUCGAGGACAGAACAGGACAUGUCACAUAGCAGUUGACAACCAAUUAGCCUAUCUUUUUUUCAAACUGAUCUAUCCUAAAUCAAGAGAGGAAAAGUUUUUCAGAGACUUUAAAACCCUAGCCCUUAAGAAGAAACUGGGUCCCCGGAGCCGACCUUGGCGCACCGGAGCAUUUCUCUUUCCGGAGCGGCCUGCUGGGCCUCAUGGAGGCUGUUCUGCCAGACAGCUGCCCAAGAGGGAUGGCAGUGCAGUGAGCCAGCUGAGGAGAGACCAGCUCUAGAGGCUAGGGUGCACUUCCAAGUAACCCUGUUUAUCAUGGAAGCAGGUGUCAAGCUAGGCAUGCAGUCCAUCCUCAUCGCCACCACAUGUACCAUUUACCCUAAGUUCUUCUGCAAGAUCAACCUGGACACAUAUGACCUCUAUCUGGUCGCCAUGUUUUCCAUUAACUUGGCUGGCAAAGUGAAGGAGCAACACUUGCACACUCGUGACAUCAUCAACAUGUCGCCCAGGUACUUUAACCCAGGCAGUGAGCCGUUGGAGCUGGAUUCCCGCUUCUGGGAGCUAUGAGACAGCAUUGUACAGUGUGAGCUUCUUACGCUGCGAGUUCUGCGCUUCCAAGUCUCUUUCCAGAAUCUACACAAGUACCUGUUACACUACUCGAUUUCCCUCAAGAACUGGCUGAAUCGUUACAGCUGGCAACGAACCCUCAUCUCUGUUACAGCUUGGGCUCUGCUGCGAGAUAGCUACCAUGGGGAGCUAUGCCUCCGCUUCCAGGCUCAGCACCUAGCCGUGGCCGUGCUCUGUCUGACCCUGCAGGUCUAUGGAGUCGAGUUGCCUGCAGAGGGUGGCGGGUAUUUAGUGAUGACCUUACCAAGCCAAUCAUUGAUGAUACUGUGUCUGAUCUCAUUCAGAUUUGUACUAUGGAUACAGAGAUCCCCUAAGGUCCUGGCCGAGGCGGGACCAAAGACCAGGAUGAUUGGAGGCCUGGGUAUGAUGCUACCAAGUUGCUGUGAUGGCGUGUGUCCACUCGGAGGACUGGCUGUGCUGUCAGAGGAUGUCACUGGUGACUGCAAUGACAUGCUGUCAUUUUGUCCCCAGCAGCCCUUGUUCAAAUAAUGCCAAGAGCCUCCAUGUGGGCAGGAUAUACUGAGCUUUCUAGAAUUGACUGCAUUAGCUUUUGCCCUUUGAGAAGAUGCUGCAUUUGAGGCAUGGGCCAUUGCAGGUCGCCAACAGAAAAGUUAAAGAAUAGGACUGCACCCUUAGGAGAAGUAAGAAUGUGUAACAUAAGAUCUUAUUUUGUUUAAUAAAGAUUAUGCAAAUAAAAUAUGG